AGUCGAACGGCAGCACGAAAGAGCUUGCUCUUUUGGUGGCGAGUGGCGAACGGGUGAGUAAUGCAUCGGAACGUACCGAGUAAUGGGGGAUAACUAUCCGAAAGGAUAGCUAAUACCGCAUACGCUUUGAGAAGGAAAGUGGGGGCUCUUCGGACCUCACGUUAUUCGAGCGGCCGAUGUCUGAUUAGCUAGUUGGUGGGGUAAAGGCCUACCAAGGCGACGAUCAGUAGCGGGUCUGAGAGGAUGAUCCGCCACACUGGGACUGAGACACGGCCCAGACUCCUACGGGAGGCAGCAGUGGGGAAUUUUGGACAAUGGGCGCAAGCCUGAUCCAGCCAUGCCGCGUGUCUGAAGAAGGCCUUCGGGUUGUAAAGGACUUUUGUUAGGGAAGAAAAGGAUAGUGUUAAUACCAUUAUCUGCUGACGGUACCUAAAGAAUAAGCACCGGCUAA
This 451-nucleotide ribosomal RNA is filed under the name Kingella oralis. RNAcentral describes it as "bacterial SSU rRNA". It matches the Rfam family "Bacterial small subunit ribosomal RNA", at positions 60 to 500 of the family's 1533-position model. Lineage: Bacteria; Pseudomonadati; Pseudomonadota; Betaproteobacteria; Neisseriales; Neisseriaceae. The record is from RNAcentral.